GCCAGGCGUGGUGGCGCACGCCUGUAAUCCCAGCUACUCAGGAGGCUGAGGCAGGAGAAUCACUUGAGCCCAGGAGGCAGAGGUUGCAGUGAGCCGCCAUUGCGCCAUUGCACUCCAGCCUGGGCAACAGAGGGAGACUCUGGCUCAA
Non-coding RNA from Homo sapiens (human), 148 nucleotides. It matches the Rfam family "Metazoan signal recognition particle RNA". From Rfam's summary of the family: The signal recognition particle (SRP) is a universally conserved ribonucleoprotein. It is involved in the co-translational targeting of proteins to membranes. Lineage: Eukaryota; Metazoa; Chordata; Mammalia; Primates; Hominidae. The record is from Rfam.